UGAAGUAUCCAAGGGCGUGCGGUGGAUGCCUAGGCUCCCGGAGGCGACGAAGGACGUGACAAGCUGCGAAAAGCUUGGGGUAGCCGCAAAUAGGCUUUGAUCCCAAGAUGUCCGAAUGGGGCAACCCAACAUAUUGAAGAUAUGUUAUCCCCUUAUGGGGAGGCGAACCCGCCGAACUGAAACAUCUAAGUAGGCGGAGGAAGAGAAAACAACAGUGAUACCGCGAGUAGUGGUGAGCGAAAGCGGCAGAGCCCAAACCGAUUCUGUUACGGCAGAGUCGGGGUUGUAGGACCCUCAAAUGAUGUCGGAAGGAUAACGGAACAAUUCUGGAAAGUAUGACCGAAGAAGGUGACAGUCCUGUAUGUGAAAUCCCGAAGACGCGGGGGGGUAUCCUGAGUAGGGCGGGACCGGAGGAAUCCUGCCUGAACCCGGCGGCACCAUCCGCCAAGGCUAAACACUCCCGGGAGACCGAUAGUGUACCAGUACCGUGAGGGAAAGGUGAAAAGCACCGCGAGCAGCGGAGUGAAAUAGUACCUGAAACCGCGCGCCUGCAAGCUGUGGGAGCCAAUUUUUGGUGACCGCGUGCCUUUUGCAUAAUGAGCCUACGAGUUGCUCCUCACUGGCGAGGUUAAGGGCCUGGAGGUCCUGAGCCGGAGCGAAAGCGAGUCUGAACAGGGCGCUGUAGUCAGUGGGGGCAGACGCGAAACUUUGUGAUCUACGCAUGGCCAGGCUGAAGGUCGGGUAAAACCGGCUGGAGGGCCGAACUGGUUUCCGUUGAAAAGGAUUCGGAUGAGCUGUGCGUAGGGGUGAAAGGCUAAUCAAACUGAGAGAUAGCUCGUACUCCCCGAAAUGCCUUUAGGGGCAGCCUCGGGCAAUAGCCGCACGGAGGUAGAGAUACUGAUUGGGCGCGGGGGCUUCACCGCCUACCAACCCCAGCCAAACUCCGAAUGCCGUGCGGUGUUCCCCGGGAGUGAGGCCGCGGGUGCUAACGUCCACGGCCGAGAGGGAAAGAACCCGGACCAUCGGCUAAGGUCCCGGAGCGUGUGCUAAGUUGUGUUAACGAGGUCCGACUGCACUGACAGCCAGGAUGUUGGCUUGGAAGCAGCCAUUCAUUCAAAGAGUGCGUAACAGCUCACUGGUCGAGCGGUCGGGUAUGGAUAAUGAGCGGGCAUGAAGCACACCACCGAAGCCAUGGGAUACAUGAUAUCGGUAGGGGAGCAUUCCAUUCUACGUUGAAGGUGAAUCGUGAGGUUUGCUGGAGUGUAUGGAAAAGCAAAUGUAGGCAUAAGUAACGACAAUGGGGGUGUGAAACCCCCACACCGGAAGUCCAAGGGUUCCUGAUCAACGCUAAUCGGAUCAGGGUCAGUCGGGUCCUAAGACGAACCCUCUGCAGAGGAGGGGCAGCCGAUGGACAACGGGUUAAUAUUCCCGUACCGGCCAACAUUGCGAAGCGGGGACGGAGGAGCGAAACAUCCGCCAUCUGACGGAAUAGAUGGUUGAAACAGUUAGGUAUAGGCCUUACAGUCAAGUACGUGAGGUCUGCUGAGCUGUGACAGUACACUGAGGCUUCGGCCGAGGUGACAGCGAUGUGGAGCAUACUCCCGAGAAAAGCCGCUAAGCUUCAGGUGUUGGCCGCCCGUACCGGAAACCGACACAGGUGGACGAGGAGAGUAUCCAAAGGUGCUCGAGUGAGUCAUGGCUAAGGAAUUAGGCAAACUAACCCUGUAACUUCGGAAGAAAGGGUCCUCCUUUAAGGGAGGCGCAGAGAAAUGGCCCAGGCGACUGUUUAGCAAAAACACAAGGCUUUGCGAAAUCGAAAGAUGAGGUAUAAGGCCUGACACCUGCCCGGUGCCGGAAGGUUAAGAGGAGAUGUCACCGCAAGGGAAGCAUUGAAUUGAAGCCCCGGUAAACGGCGGCCGUAACUAUAACGGUCCUAAGGUAGCGAAAUUCCUUGUCGGGUAAGUUCCGACC
This 1971-nucleotide ribosomal RNA is filed under the name Bacteroidales bacterium Bact_22. RNAcentral describes it as "bacterial LSU rRNA". It matches the Rfam family "Bacterial large subunit ribosomal RNA", at positions 1 to 1988 of the family's 2925-position model. The record is from RNAcentral. Lineage: Bacteria; Pseudomonadati; Bacteroidota; Bacteroidia; Bacteroidales.